This 77-nucleotide transfer RNA is filed under the name Thermus scotoductus. Its description in RNAcentral is "tRNA-Met". It matches the Rfam family "tRNA". Rfam says of the family: Transfer RNA (tRNA) molecules are approximately 80 nucleotides in length. Their secondary structure includes four short double-helical elements and three loops (D, anti-codon, and T loops). RNAcentral also lists the same sequence under 2 other names. Lineage: Bacteria; Thermotogati; Deinococcota; Deinococci; Thermales; Thermaceae. The record is from RNAcentral.
GGGCCGUUAGCUCAAUUGGUCAGAGCGGCCGGCUCAUAACCGGUUGGUUGCAGGUUCGAGUCCUGCACGGCCCACCA